Molecule: long non-coding RNA, 929 nt
Organism: Lathyrus oleraceus (garden pea)
Lineage: Eukaryota; Viridiplantae; Streptophyta; Magnoliopsida; Fabales; Fabaceae
Exons: 3
Source: RefSeq, a predicted model, not a curated record
AAUGCACAUGUUUAAAUGAAUAAAAACACUCAGAACUACAUGGCUCAAAACGCGUUCCCUCUCUCGCCUCAGUUCCUGCUUCUGUUUCCGUUACUCUCUCCGUCGUGCCAGAGGCCGUCCUCGACGGCGGAGGCAUCCAAAAAAACAAACAAACACCACCACUCCACUCAAACUCUAACGCUGAUUCCAAAUCUAUCAACGAAAUCUCCUAAUUCCUUAAGAAUCUCUCAAAUUGAAGAGGAAUUCGUAUGAACCAUAACUUGAAAUUAUUAAAUUAAAUGGUAAUUGAAGGGAACCGAGUCACCACACGUUGGGGCUUUGAUUCCCCUUAAGAAUCUCUACAUCCUGAUAACUUUAGAAUACGAAAAAAGGAAGAAAAUAUUGGAGUCUCACCAGAAUUUCGUUGGCGCCAGGGCUGCUUCUAGGCUUAGAGUUUUGUUAUGGAGCUAUGUGUAAGACCCCAAUUUUAACCCUAAGAUCCCUCAUGCUACCUCAUCAUUUGCAUUGACUUUGGGAUCUCACCUUGGUAUCCUCUUCAUCCCUCAUUCAUUUAGGUGUGUGUGUCCAUUUGUGCCCCACCAAGUUCAUAUCUAGGGUUUGAGACCCUCAGUGCAAGAGAUCAAUCAAGAAAAGGUUCAUAUUUAUUCUAACUAUCAUAUAUGGAUCCCCGUGCUCUUUAAUUGUCAUUUUGAUCAAGAAUUCAUCAAGAGUUUGGAGUUUGUUUGUCUUGGAAGCCCUAAUUCAUCUGGGUAUCUUGCGUGACUUCCUCAGCAAGUUUAUUCACCAAUUGAUCAAAUAUCUUAAGGUAUACUUUAUUAUACAUCAUGUCAAGCAUAGAUGAUCCUCCAUGAGCCCCCAAAGAUCAAAGUUCAUAUCUGGUACAUGCCCUUACAAGAUAAUUAACAAGAGAAGGUACCCAAUUGCUUAUU